GUUAAAUAACUCAUCAUUCAAUCACAUUUGAGAUAAGUGAGUUGGAAAUAAAUUAAUAAAUAAAAUAUAGAAAUUUCACCUCACUUAUUUUCAAUAUGAUUGGAUGAUGAGUUAUUUAACCC
RNAcentral lists this microRNA precursor (122 nucleotides) under Lotus japonicus. RNAcentral's name for it is "miR11108p stem-loop (lja-MIR11108p)". The record is from miRBase by way of RNAcentral. Lineage: Eukaryota; Viridiplantae; Streptophyta; Magnoliopsida; Fabales; Fabaceae.